UACAGAGGUCCCGAGCGUUGUUCGGAUUCACUGGGCGUAAAGGGUGCGUAGGCGGUUUUCUAAGUUUGAUGUGAAAUCCCGGGGCUUAACCCUGGAAUUGCAUUGAAUACUGGGAGACUAGAGUACUGGAGAGGAAACUGGAAUUUACGGUGUAGCAGUGAAAUGCGUAGAGAUCGUAAGGAAGACCAGUGGCGAAGGCGAGUUUCUGGACAGUUACUGACGCUGAGGCACGAAGGCCAGGGGAGCAAACGGG
RNAcentral lists this ribosomal RNA (253 nucleotides) under uncultured bacterium. RNAcentral's name for it is "partial 16S ribosomal RNA". It matches the Rfam family "Bacterial small subunit ribosomal RNA", at positions 524 to 776 of the family's 1533-position model. The record is from RNAcentral.